RNAcentral lists this long non-coding RNA (279 nucleotides) under Brachypodium distachyon (stiff brome). RNAcentral's name for it is "long non-coding RNA (BDIS_LNC004160)". Lineage: Eukaryota; Viridiplantae; Streptophyta; Magnoliopsida; Poales; Poaceae. The record is from RNAcentral.
CUGCCACACGCAAACCCAGCUCGCCAUGGCGCCUCGCUUCUUCGUGCCUCUGCCCCUCGUCGUCGUCCUCCUGCUCGCCGCCUCCACCGCCCACUCCCAAUCCCCAGCCGCCGCGCCAUCCACCUCCUCCCCCAACUCCGGCGCCGCCAUUUCCCCUUCUCCAGCCACCUCCGCCGCUUCCCCUCCAACAACCUCUUCCCCAACCGCCCCUUCUCCUUCUUCUUCCUCCUCCAAGAAGAACCCGAUCUCCACUCCCCCCGCGGCGCCCCCCUCGAAGCC